AUGCAUCAUCAAAUAGAUAGCUUAUUUGAAUUGUUCAAAAAACUUUGUAGGCUCAACGAUGAUGCAUACAUGUCAACUAUGGGUGUUGGAUCCAACAAUUCGCAUUGGUCUCAAACCAAUGACAUCCAUUUCGAAGACCAUGAGUUUGAGGUGGACGAGGAGGGUGACGGCAUUAUCGAUGCACCGAAAGGAAGAGCGGGUAAUUACACCACCAAAGAUGGCAUCUUACUAUGCAAUACUUGGUUGCAAGUGUCGAGGGGUCCAUCCGUUGGAGGUGAUCAAAGUAGAGAUGCUUAUUGGGGGCGAAUGAAAGAACACUUUGAUGCUCACAACGUGAGUGGAAUUGGCCGCUCCGAGAGAUCACUUCGGUCCCGAUGGUCGGCAAUCAACUCGGAUUGUCAAAAGUGGGCGGCCGCACAAAAGGCAGUUGACAAGAUUAACCCAAGUGGCACAAAUGAGGAUGAUGGAGUAAGUGGCAUCUCAUACAUGUUCAUCAUACUUGUUUUUGGUGUCCGAAGUGCUAACUUGUUUUGUUUUUCUUGUAGUACAACAUUGCACAAAACUUGUUCAAAGUUGAGACGAGGACAACCAAGAAGGAGAAGAUCAAGAAAGGAAGGAUCUUUACCUUGCCUCAUUGCUACACUAGUAGAAAAACACCUAAUAGUCCCGGUUCGUAAGGGCCUUUAG
RNAcentral lists this ribosomal RNA (687 nucleotides) under Triticum aestivum (bread wheat). Its description in RNAcentral is "partial small subunit ribosomal RNA". The record is from RNAcentral. Lineage: Eukaryota; Viridiplantae; Streptophyta; Magnoliopsida; Poales; Poaceae.